This is a non-coding RNA of Schistosoma mansoni, 45 nucleotides long. NCBI's taxonomy places the organism in Eukaryota, Metazoa, Platyhelminthes, Trematoda, Strigeidida, Schistosomatidae. The record is from Rfam.
AUCCAGCUGACGAGCACCAAAUAGGACGAAACGCGCGUCCUGGAU